This 484-nucleotide long non-coding RNA is filed under the name Pandoravirus celtis. RNAcentral's name for it is "hypothetical ncRNA". The record is from RNAcentral.
UGGACGCUCUCGGGUAACUGUACACGACUCGGGACUAUUGUACGUCAAGCGGAAAAAAGAUGAGGCAUGGUUGGUUCUCAAAAGACAUUGCCCAACACUCGGGUUUGGGCCUCUUUUCGAUGCCAAGCGGCCCAUAGGCGGCAGUCACCAGCAUCACCGACGACGAUGACGACGACAAUGCCCAGGAUGAUGUCCUCCAUUUUGCCACUCAAGGUUUCUACAUAGGCUCCGUGGUCGGCCAUAUCGCCAACGUCCCACCGCUGCCUCGACCCGCCAUGCGCAAUUUCUACGCGGGCGUGGCACAAUCACGGCCCAGGGACAAUGUCCUCUGCAUAAACGGGCACCGCCAGUAUGUUUAAUUUUGGCACAUUGCUGUUCCCACCGACUGGACAUGCGCUGGCGGUCCGCCCUCAGCCGCGUGAGGGCGCAUCUUUUAAAGACGACGAAUAAAGCAUACGAAAGACGUUAAAAAAUAAAAUCGUUU